This 1388-nucleotide ribosomal RNA is filed under the name Streptococcus thermophilus. Its description in RNAcentral is "bacterial SSU rRNA". It matches the Rfam family "Bacterial small subunit ribosomal RNA", at positions 62 to 1433 of the family's 1533-position model. Lineage: Bacteria; Bacillati; Bacillota; Bacilli; Lactobacillales; Streptococcaceae. The record is from RNAcentral.
UAGAACGCUGAAGAGAGGAGCUUGCUCUCUCUUGGAUGAGUUGCGAACGGGUGAGUAACGCGUAGGUAACCUGCCUUGUAGCGGGGGAUAACUAUUGGAAACGAUAGCUAAUACCGCAUAACAAUGGAUGACACAUGUCAUUUAUUUGAAAGGGGCAAUUGCUCCACUACAAGAUGGACCUGCGUUGUAUUAGCUAGUAGGUGAGGUAAUGGCUCACCUAGGCGACGAUACAUAGCCGACCUGAGAGGGUGAUCGGCCACACUGGGACUGAGACACGGCCCAGACUCCUACGGGAGGCAGCAGUAGGGAAUCUUCGGCAAUGGGGGCAACCCUGACCGAGCAACGCCGCGUGAGUGAAGAAGGUUUUCGGAUCGUAAAGCUCUGUUGUAAGUCAAGAACGGGUGUGAGAGUGGAAAGUUCACACUGUGACGGUAGCUUACCAGAAAGGGACGGCUAACUACGUGCCAGCAGCCGCGGUAAUACGUAGGUCCCGAGCGUUGUCCGGAUUUAUUGGGCGUAAAGCGAGCGCAGGCGGUUUGAUAAGUCUGAAGUUAAAGGCUGUGGCUCAACCAUAGUUCGCUUUGGAAACUGUCAAACUUGAGUGCAGAAGGGGAGAGUGGAAUUCCAUGUGUAGCGGUGAAAUGCGUAGAUAUAUGGAGGAACACCGGUGGCGAAAGCGGCUCUCUGGUCUGUAACUGACGCUGAGGCUCGAAAGCGUGGGGAGCGAACAGGAUUAGAUACCCUGGUAGUCCACGCCGUAAACGAUGAGUGCUAGGUGUUGGAUCCUUUCCGGGAUUCAGUGCCGCAGCUAACGCAUUAAGCACUCCGCCUGGGGAGUACGACCGCAAGGUUGAAACUCAAAGGAAUUGACGGGGGCCCGCACAAGCGGUGGAGCAUGUGGUUUAAUUCGAAGCAACGCGAAGAACCUUACCAGGUCUUGACAUCCCGAUGCUAUUUCUAGAGAUAGAAAGUUACUUCGGUACAUCGGUGACAGGUGGUGCAUGGUUGUCGUCAGCUCGUGUCGUGAGAUGUUGGGUUAAGUCCCGCAACGAGCGCAACCCCUAUUGUUAGUUGCCAUCAUUCAGUUGGGCACUCUAGCGAGACUGCCGGUAAUAAACCGGAGGAAGGUGGGGAUGACGUCAAAUCAUCAUGCCCCUUAUGACCUGGGCUACACACGUGCUACAAUGGUUGGUACAACGAGUUGCGAGUCGGUGACGGCGAGCUAAUCUCUUAAAGCCAAUCUCAGUUCGGAUUGUAGGCUGCAACUCGCCUACAUGAAGUCGGAAUCGCUAGUAAUCGCGGAUCAGCACGCCGCGGUGAAUACGUUCCCGGGCCUUGUACACACCGCCCGUCACACCACGAGAGUUUGUAACACCCGAAGUCGGUGC